AUAUUCAGCGUUGGUUAGACGGGGUAGACCAUUUGGGUUUGGAAGACGUAUUGUUUACUCGUAAACUUGAUAGAUAUUGAUUAUCAAUUAUAUACAAGUGCUUGAAGGAUAAAUUCAUCAUGCCGGGACCGACAGAAGAGCAGCCCGUUGAUAAAGAUAAAGAGGAAGAUGCGAGGCAGAGGGAGAUAAUGAAUGAAGCUUACCAGAGGAUUCUGGAUGAAAUAAUUGAUCAUGUGAUAGUGAAGGUGAUUUUCAAAGCUGAACCAGCUUAAUGUUUUGGAACUUUGAAGACAACUGACAAGAAGAUUGUUCUUCAUCGCUUUCAAAAUUUAAACCUGUAACUCCUGUGAAUCCAGUUGUAUAUGAAAAAUGGGUUUAUCUGUAAAUUCACCUUUUGGAUUAUUUUAUUAGUGUUACAAUUGUUCAUAGUACAUACAAAUGGAAAUUCAUAAUAUUUUUGAUGCCAGUUAAAUUAUGUGCUUCAAAAUUUUUUAUGUGUAACGUAAGCUGUUUUCUGCUUUAAAAUAUAAUGAUUUGUGUUCAUGUUAUUAAAUUAAAACAUUGAUAUUUUCCUUUCUUUUGUUAUAAUAAAACUUAGUGUUCUGUAAAUGUGUCAUAUAUAUGUAUGAAAUUGAAGUUCUUUUCACAAUGCUCUUGUCCAUUCAAUAAUAAUGUUAACAUGAUUUAAAAAAAAUUUUUUUUCUCAAAUAUGUGUGCAAAAUAAUUUUUAGUGAGUUUCAAACUUUGAAUCAUUAGUUUAUUAUGUCAUGGAUAAUAAUUAAAAAAUUUUUGAUAAUAUUUUUAUUUUUAUAUCAUUAGAGUUUUUAAAUGUCAAUGAAAUUUUAUUCAACAUAUGUAUGAAUGAAUUUUAGGCUUAUUUCACAAUUUGAUUUAUUAAAUAAUCUGGCAUGUAGAAAAUUUGCCAUAUAAGUAUUUUCCUAAAGCUGAGCUGAUUAUGAAUUCAUUAUAAACCCUCUUUCAUAUAUAUUAUAAUGUUGUUUUUUACCCUCGCUAUUUAUUAAAUUUUCCAUUUAAAAACUCUCAUCAACUGAAUUGUGUAUUUUUCAUUUUGUAUUGCAAUUUCAUUUUUUGCCAUGUGUGUAAAAUUAACAAU
Argiope bruennichi is the source of this 1114-nucleotide long non-coding RNA. RefSeq lists it as uncharacterized. The record is from RefSeq and is a predicted model, not a curated record. The transcript is spliced from 3 exons. NCBI's taxonomy places the organism in Eukaryota, Metazoa, Arthropoda, Arachnida, Araneae, Araneidae.